GAUGAACGCCGGCGGUGUGCCUAAUACAUGCAAGUCGAACGCGUUGGCCCAACUGAUUGACGAUGCUUGCAUCCGAUUGACGUUGGAUUUCCAACGAGUGGCGGACGGGUGAGUAACACGUAGGUAACCUGCCCAGAAGCGGGGGAUAACAUCUGGAAACAGGUGCUAAUACCGCAUAACAAUUCAAAUCGCAUGGUUUGAAUUUAAAAGAUGGCUCUGCUAUCACUUCUGGAUGGACCUGCGGCGCAUUAGCUUGUUGGUAGGGUAAUGGCCUACCAAGGCAGUGAUGCGUAGCCGAGUUGAGAGACUGAUCGGCCACAAUGGGACUGAGACACGGCCCAUACUCCUACGGGAGGCAGCAGUAGGGAAUCUUCCACAAUGGGCGCAAGCCUGAUGGAGCAACACCGCGUGAGUGAAGAAGGGUUUCGGCUCGUAAAGCUCUGUUGUUGAAGAAGAACGUGCAUGAGAGUAACUGUUCAUGCAGUGACGGUAUUCAACCAGAAAGUCACGGCUAACUACGUGCCAGCAGCCGCGGUAAUACGUAGGUGGCAAGCGUUAUCCGGAUUUAUUGGGCGUAAAGAGAGUGCAGGCGGUUUCUUAAGUCUGAUGUGAAAGCCUUCGGCUCAACCGAAGAAGUGCAUCGGAAACUGGGAGACUUGAGUACAGAAGAGGGCAGUGGAACUCCAUGUGUAGCGGUGGAAUGCGUAGAUAUAUGGAAGAACACCAGUGGCGAAAGCGGCUGCCUGGUCUGUAACUGACGCUGAGACUCGAUAGCAUGGGUAGCGAACAGG
This 791-nucleotide ribosomal RNA is filed under the name uncultured Lactobacillus sp. RNAcentral describes it as "bacterial SSU rRNA". It matches the Rfam family "Bacterial small subunit ribosomal RNA", at positions 28 to 776 of the family's 1533-position model. The record is from RNAcentral. Lineage: Bacteria; Bacillati; Bacillota; Bacilli; Lactobacillales; Lactobacillaceae.